UCUUGUUAUUCAAUUUAGUCUAUUUAAUAACUCGAUUAAAUUCAUUAGUCAAUUAAUUCUUUAUAUAUAUAAAAAUUAAGAAUUUAAUCUUAGAACAUACCCAUUGGGAAUCGGGCGACAAUUCCAUGAUCAGCGCGAAGAGAAGAGGAUUCUGUCUCUCGGGGCCUCGCCGGAGUGCCGCCGUCCGGUCACCGGACCGCCGCCGCCGACCGCCAUGCACGGUGGUCGGAAAUUCAAAUCAUCACCAAAAUUAACAAACAAUCUAUCAUUUUAUUUGUUUCGAUGAGAGGAUCAUUAAUAUGUAUUCAAAUCAAGGUGGGUACGAACUAUUUGGCCGGAAAUUGAUCGGAAAGGUUCGGUGAUACCCAUUUUGGGUUUUCCGAUUCCGGCCAUUACAGUCGACGAGGAGGCCAUCAAAUGAAAGAAGAAGAAGAGAGGAGUCAUUUGGUACUCACCUUGAGCCCUAGGCUUGCCUGAAACGGCGUGAAU
This is a non-coding RNA of Jatropha curcas, 489 nucleotides long. NCBI's taxonomy places the organism in Eukaryota, Viridiplantae, Streptophyta, Magnoliopsida, Malpighiales, Euphorbiaceae. The record is from RefSeq and is a predicted model, not a curated record.